Molecule: long non-coding RNA, 585 nt
Organism: Homo sapiens (human)
Lineage: Eukaryota; Metazoa; Chordata; Mammalia; Primates; Hominidae
Source: Ensembl
AUUGGGUGCAGGAGGGAUCUGCAACCUGGGACCGACAACAGACAUAGAUUAAAAACAAACAAGAGAAGCCUGAUCUCCCCGGCCAGAAGACUAGGGAAAGGAAAGCCAACCAGAGACCUAGUGGGGACCUCCAGCCUCAGGCAUUCAGCUCUGUGAAUAAAAGCAUUCUGCUGAUUUCUGCUGCCCUGUAUCCAGACGGAAGGAAUGGCUGCUUGGCCACCUGCCUUUUGCUUGGAUUGGCAGAAAUCUGGCUUAAUCUGGCUUCUCCAGUCCUCCAUCACCUGGCCAGGAGAUCCAUGUUGCAGCUGGGAGCAUGGGGAAAUCUGGACACGCACUUCACCAAAAUGAGACAACUGUGGCAGGAGACAGGCUAAGGCGAGUGGGGACAAAUCAAUGUGCUGGAUGCCCUGGUGUACCUGUGACGAAGAAGCAGGAGCUGGGAAGAGAGAGGAAAAGGAAAUAGACAACUGAAGAAAUGGAGGUGCUACUGGCUCAAGGAACCUGGAUUCAUUUAGAGAGUGUGCCCAGGAUGAGACGUGUGGAGAGCCUGGCCUGAACCAACACUAACAGUCUCCUGGACAGGAG